Molecule: long non-coding RNA, 500 nt
Filed under: Olea europaea (common olive)
Lineage: Eukaryota; Viridiplantae; Streptophyta; Magnoliopsida; Lamiales; Oleaceae
Description: long non-coding RNA (OEUR_LNC012100)
Source: RNAcentral
UUGGAUUUCCGUCAUAGUUUUUUGAUUGGUUGCCUUGUGCUCUUCCUUUUCCUCUUCCUCGAAAUGAUCCUCCUCGUCCUCGUGAUGAUUCUCCUCUUCCUUGGAAAGAACCUCCUCUUCCUUGGGAAGAUACUCCUCUGCCUUCUUGCCGCUAUUUAGAAUUUGAAUUAUAAAAUUUCAUUUUAGACUCAAAUGCUUGCUCAAGUGGCUGAUUUGAGAACCUGCCAAUUCUUUCUUCAUGUACUUGCAGGGAACUCAUCAAAUCGUUAAAAGUAUAUUUAGACAAAUCUUUUGAUUCUUCAAUAGCGGCGACAAUAUAAUCAUAUUUCGCGGGAAGGCUUCGAAGGACCUUUUGAACAACUUUUUUUUCUUCAAUUGUGUCGCCAAGGCUUCUGAUUUGAUUUACUAUUUCGGAGACUCGAGUUAGAUAGAAUUGCAUAACUUCAUUAUCUUUUUUUGAUAAAUUGUCGAACUCCCUCCAAAGAGAUUGAAGCUUUAGA